Molecule: ribosomal RNA, 468 nt
Filed under: uncultured bacterium
Lineage: Bacteria
Description: partial 16S ribosomal RNA
Rfam family: Bacterial small subunit ribosomal RNA
Source: RNAcentral
GACGAACGCUGGCGGCGUGCUUAACACAUGCAAGUCGAACGGAAAGUCCCUGCUUUUGUGGGGUGCUCGAGUGGCGAACGGGUGAGUAACACGUGAGUAACCUGCCCUUGACUUUGGGAUAACUUCAGGAAACUGGAGCUAAUACCGGAUAGGAGCUCCUGCUGCAUGGUGGUGGUUGGAAAGUUUCGGCGGUUGGGGAUGGACUCGCGGCUUAUCAGCUUGUUGGUGGGGUAGUGGCUUACCAAGGCGUUGACGGGUAGCCGGCCUGAGAGGGGGACCGGCCACAUUGGGACUGGGAUACGGCCCAGACUCCUACGGGAGGCAGCAGGGGGGAAGAUUGCACAAUGGGAGGAAGCCUGAUGCAGCAAAGCCGCGUGCGGGAUGACGGACGUCGGGUUGUAAACCGCUUUCGCCUGUGACGAAGCGUGAGUGACGGUAAUGGGUAAAGAAGCAACGGAUAACUACGUG